UGACCCUAAUGUCCGAUAGGAGAAGAUUGCUGGAAUGCUUUUUCUCUCAAGUUAGGAUAGGGCUGCGGUCGAUUAGGUUGUUGGCGGGGUAAUGGCCCACCAAGCCGAUGAUCGGUAAGGGCUCUUAGCGGAGAAGCCCUGAGAGGGGAUCUGAGACACUAUCCCCAGCCUUACGGGGUGCAGCAGUCGGGAAACUUCUGCAAUGUACGAAAGUAUGACAGAGCAAGCCAGAGUGCUGUUCUUUUUGAACAGCUUUUGUGAGAUGCAAAAAGUCUCACGAAUAAGGACUGGGCAAGACUGGUGCCAGCCGCCGCGGUAAUCCCAGCAGUCCAGGUAGCAGCCGCUUUUAUUGGGUCUAAAACAUCCGUAGCUUGCUUCGUAAGUCUCUUGUGAAAUCCGGCAUCUUAAGUGUCGGUCGUGCAGGAGAAACUGCGUUGCUAGAGACCGGGAGACGUGAAGAGUACGCAUCGGGUAGCGGUUAAAUGCGUUGAUCCAAUGUGGACUAACGAUAGCGAAGGCACUUCACGAGAACGGAUCUGACAGUGAGGGAUGAAGGCCAGGGGCGCAAAAGGGAUUAGAUACCCCUGUAGUCCUGGCAGUAAACCCUGCACACUAAACAUCGG
RNAcentral lists this ribosomal RNA (623 nucleotides) under uncultured archaeon. RNAcentral's name for it is "bacterial SSU rRNA". It matches the Rfam family "Archaeal small subunit ribosomal RNA", at positions 141 to 777 of the family's 1478-position model. The record is from RNAcentral.